Molecule: transfer RNA, 85 nt
Filed under: Felis catus (domestic cat)
Lineage: Eukaryota; Metazoa; Chordata; Mammalia; Carnivora; Felidae
Rfam family: tRNA
About the family: Transfer RNA (tRNA) molecules are approximately 80 nucleotides in length. Their secondary structure includes four short double-helical elements and three loops (D, anti-codon, and T loops). Further hydrogen bonds mediate the characteristic L-shaped molecular structure. tRNAs have two regions of fundamental functional importance: the anti-codon, which is responsible for specific mRNA codon recognition, and the 3' end, to which the tRNAs corresponding amino acid is attached (by aminoacyl-tRNA synthetases). tRNAs cope with the degeneracy of the genetic code in two manners: having more than one tRNA (with a specific anti-codon) for a particular amino acid; and 'wobble' base-pairing, i.e. permitting non-standard base-pairing at the 3rd anti-codon position.
Source: Rfam by way of RNAcentral
GCCUGGGUGGCUCAGUCGGUUGAGCAUCUGACUUUGGCUCAGGUCAUGAUCUCGCGGUCUGUGGGUUCGAGCCCCGCGUCGGGCU